UCCCGCCGGCUUUACUGCCUGGAGGCCGGCGGGACUGGCAAGCAAAUCAGCGUACACUGCAGGAUGUUUACUGGAACCUACUGGAGAGCUGUGACUGUGAAAUCAGGUCCAGUUUUUCAUCUGCUAGUUUGGGCUAGCUAGGAUCUCAUUAGCCACUGCUCCAGAAGAAGGCAAAAACUACAGACACCAGAGUGAAGCAGUGUGAAGUAACAUUCACUUUAGUCACCAUAUUAAGCUGGCUGUCUGUAUGAUCUCUUCCACCAGUGCUUCAACAUAAUGACAGAGUGCACCAAAGACACAGAAGAAGAAUACACAACCAGUAUGGCUAAGGUUAAGAAGCAGAAAAUACACAUAAAUAUAGUGGUCUGCAAACCUCAUGUCUUGUUCUCCUUGCUGUGCGCUGCAAUGCCUUGGUAACGUAAAACUUGAUAAGUAUUCUAGUAGUUGGAAAAGUCACUGUAGCUCCAAGUAGUCUCUAAAGAUUUGGCCUGGUGUAGAGAAAUCUGUUCCACACAAGGGGUUUCUGUCCUGCUGCUAAGAAGUGUGCAAACACCCCAGAGCCUGGCACAACAAAAGCACUUCAUUUGGCAGUGUCAGGAUUCCAGAGCCCUCUGUACAUUCAUUGGUCUGGAACAACGGACUGAAUUCAGAACUGAUGAGUCAAUCCUCUCUUCAUUCGCCCACAGCCAAAUUGUCAUUUGUUGGCCUCUUAAAAAAAAAAAAAAA
This is a long non-coding RNA of Alligator sinensis (Chinese alligator), 726 nucleotides long. RefSeq lists it as uncharacterized. NCBI's taxonomy places the organism in Eukaryota, Metazoa, Chordata, Crocodylia, Alligatoridae. The record is from RefSeq and is a predicted model, not a curated record. The transcript has 3 exons.